RNAcentral lists this ribosomal RNA (393 nucleotides) under uncultured bacterium. Its description in RNAcentral is "partial 16S ribosomal RNA". It matches the Rfam family "Bacterial small subunit ribosomal RNA", at positions 523 to 918 of the family's 1533-position model. The record is from RNAcentral.
AUACGGAGGAUCCGAGCGUUAUCCGGAUUUAUUGGGUUUAAAGGGAGCGUAGGCGGACGCUUAAGUCAGUUGUGAAAGUUUGCGGCUCAACCGUAAAAUUGCAGUUGAUACUGGGUGUCUUGAGUACAGUAGAGGCAGGCGGAAUUCGUGGUGUAGCGGUGAAAUGCUUAGAUAUCAAGAAGAACUCCGAUUGCGAAGGCAGCCUGCUGGACUGUAACUGACGCUGAUGCUCGAAAGUGCGGGUAUCAAACAGGAUUAGAUACCCUGGUAGUCCGCACAGUAAACGAUGAAUACUCGCUGUUUGCGAUACACGGUAAGCGGCCAAGCGAAAGCGUUAAGUAUUCCACCUGGGGAGUACGCCGGCAACGGUGAAACUCAAAGGAAUUGACGGGG